UUAUUUACAAUGCCUGCCACUGGC
Molecule: non-coding RNA, 24 nt
Filed under: Arabidopsis thaliana (thale cress)
Lineage: Eukaryota; Viridiplantae; Streptophyta; Magnoliopsida; Brassicales; Brassicaceae
Source: RNAcentral